Molecule: long non-coding RNA, 523 nt
Filed under: Ursus thibetanus thibetanus
Lineage: Eukaryota; Metazoa; Chordata; Mammalia; Carnivora; Ursidae
Description: lncRNA (ENSUTTG00000000495.1)
Source: RNAcentral
CCUGUUUUUUGGCAGGAAAAGACCCAGAACCAGGGAGCUGGAUCUUCAUGUCCUCAAACGACAGAAGUUGAAAGCAGGUGGCUCUCCAAGCAGGAGAAGGUGAAGCUCCAGGGUGAAACCCCAGCAGAGGGCAGCCAGGGGCACGUCAGGGAGGAGCUGCGCUGAUGUCUGGAAGGAUGGCAGGAGGAGGAGGAACCCGGCAGCACAGCCUUCCUGAAGUUCCUGGCUUGGGCUCACGGGGGAGCUGGGUCCACUCUCAGAGAAGAAAAUGGGAAAAGACAAGAAAGUCAAGUCUCUGCCGACAGAGCCUGGGUCUUGCUCCAGCCGCUAGCGUGAGUUUGGUGGCCUUGAGAAUGCCCCUCACUCCCCUGUUCUCUCGAGCUCCACACUUGGGUAAGCACUUCUCGUGUGACAAUCCCUGAGCCCUGCAGUGUGUGGGACCCAGAGACGAGGCAGCCCGGCCCAGCUCUUGAGUUCCCCCAGCGGGGUAAGAGGAGAGGGGUGCGAAUAUUGAGUCUUCAAG